RNAcentral lists this ribosomal RNA (506 nucleotides) under uncultured Lachnospiraceae bacterium. Its description in RNAcentral is "bacterial SSU rRNA". It matches the Rfam family "Bacterial small subunit ribosomal RNA", at positions 903 to 1382 of the family's 1533-position model. Lineage: Bacteria; Bacillati; Bacillota; Clostridia; Lachnospirales; Lachnospiraceae. The record is from RNAcentral.
UGCGCCUUGCCAGCCCGCUCAGAAACUUAAAUGAAUUGACGGGGGCCCGCACAAGCAGCGGAGCAUGUGGUUUAAUUCGAAGCAACGCGAAGAACCUUACCAAGACUUGACAUCCCCUGACAGCUGUUGAAAGGCAGUGUCUCUUCGGAGCAGGGAGACAGGUGGUGCAUGGUUGUCGUCAGCUCGUGUCGUGAGAUGUUGGGUUAAGUCCCGCAACGAGCGCAACCCUUAUCCUUAGUUACCAGCACGUAAAGGUGGGGACUCUAGGGAGACCGCCGGGGACGACUCGGAGGAAGGUGGGGACGACGUCAAAUCAUCAUGCCCCUUAUGUCUUGGGCUACACACGUGCUACAAUGGCCGCAACAGAGGGAAGCGAGAGCGCAAGCUGGAGCAAAACCCUAAAAAGCGGUCCCAGUUCGGAUUGUGGGCUGCAACCCGCCCACAUGAAGUCGGAGUUGCUAGUAAUCGCGAAUCAGCAUGUCGCGGUGAAUGCGUUCCCGGGCCUU